GGGGCUGUCGCUGACCCUUCAAGGGGGGUCGUGCACRCCCUUUUGCCAUCUAUACAUCCCCUUGUGCAUCACCGCGUGGGCUUCUUUUGCCUACGUUUUUCAUACAAACUUGAUUUAAAGUAAUAGAAUGGUUAUUAUUAUGCGAUUAAUAUAACUUUCAACAACGGAUCUCUUGGCUCUCGCAUCGAUGAAGAACGCAGCGAAAUGCGAUACGUAAUGUGAAUUGCAGAAUUCAGUGAAUCAUCGAAUCUUUGAACGCACCUUGCACCCUUCGGUAUUCCGAAGGGUACGCCUGUUUGAGUGUCAUGAAACCUUCAAACCUUUUCUCUUGAAUUUGGGAAAAGGCUUGGACUUUGGAGGUCACUGCUGGCAAGAUCUGUCAGCUCCUCUUAAAAGAAUUAGCAGGGUCCCCUUUUAACCGAUCCUUGAUGUGAUAAGGUUUUCCUACAUCUAAUGGGUUUCGGCUUUGUAAAGGCCUGCUUAUAAUAUCUUUAACGAACCAUUUGACCUCAAAUCAGGCGAGACUACCCGCUGAACUUAAGCAUAUAUCA
This 551-nucleotide ribosomal RNA is filed under the name Lactifluus tenuicystidiatus. RNAcentral's name for it is "eukaryotic LSU rRNA". The stretch from base 153 to 306 matches the Rfam family "5.8S ribosomal RNA". Lineage: Eukaryota; Fungi; Basidiomycota; Agaricomycetes; Russulales; Russulaceae. The record is from RNAcentral.